UGGUGUGGUGAAAAUGGUAAGGUGAAUGUGGUAAAAAAGGAAAAGAAAAAGGAUACACGGACGACUUGGUUCGAAACUAGCACAGCUACCGUUCCCCGGCAACGGCGCCAGAAAGCUUGUUGGGUAUUUUAAACGCAAAUAGAAAAAUCCGCAAGCGCACGGAUACCGAUGUAGCUUUCACCCGGGAGUAUUCCAGAGUAUCGAUUUUCCACAGAGAACGUGAGUGUACUAAUUAAGAUCCAAAAUCGCCCAAGGAUAACUAUAUAAUUAUUUUUGGUGGGAAGAGAGGAAGUUUCCUGAGAGUUCUCUAGUUGAUCUAAGAAUCAAGAAUUACUUCAAGAUUAUCUAUAUCGGGACAUCAGAGCACUAACCACAGAAAGAGAUGAGAAGGGGGCUAGAA
Molecule: long non-coding RNA, 400 nt
Filed under: Sorghum bicolor (sorghum)
Lineage: Eukaryota; Viridiplantae; Streptophyta; Magnoliopsida; Poales; Poaceae
Description: long non-coding RNA (SBIC_LNC017289)
Source: RNAcentral